Molecule: long non-coding RNA, 1407 nt
Organism: Notolabrus celidotus (New Zealand spotty)
Lineage: Eukaryota; Metazoa; Chordata; Actinopteri; Labriformes; Labridae
Exons: 4
Source: RefSeq, a predicted model, not a curated record
GAGUUGUGCCUUCCUUAGCAUCGGCGUCACUACACACCUGCUCCAUAUUAAGUCACACACGAUUUGAAACGCGCGAGGAGGACGCUGCCUGGAGUGCCAAGAAAAAGUGGACAGUGGACUUGUUCCAGAAGCUGUUAGUCAAGAUGUGCCAUGGUAGCAGAAUGUCAAAGGACAAUUGGUGAGGCCUCCCUGCAUGAGGGCGCAGAAAAAGAUCCUUACAUACCUGGAACCUGACAACAUGAUUGACAGGGUUGCAGAAAAAGAAAAGUGCCUGCAGGGAUGUUGACUGCGUGAAGGCCAAGAGGACAUGAUGUGCCGUGAAGUCUGUUAGCUCUGACUUCACCUGAAAACUUUCAGAAGACUGAUGACAGAGGGUCCUCGCAGGAGUUGAUGCACAGAUCUGCAGCAACCCGAAGUCGGAGCGCUACCUCGGCUGACACAGAAAUGUGUUUCAAAGUGCAGACGAAAGAUUCAGGGAAUCGCAUUUGAUCCCACACACACACUUGCAUGAAUGCUUGCUCAUCAUACUUCCCCCUGAAAAAUCCUGCAUUACGUUUCUCCUUGACAAGCUUCUGGUUAGUGCUUAGUCACUGAAUCACAAGGAAACCCAGACCAAAGAAAAUGAGCUGCUUAGUCCAAACAGUUGUAGGGAAGAUUGCCAAACAUAUUUGUGAUGUGUGAAGAAAUUUAGUGGUUUAAGAAGUGUUAAGAUCAGUAAUUUAAGAAAAAGUAGCAUGACAAAUCCUAGAUGGAGAUGAAAUUAACACAUAUUAUAUACUGUUGUCCAUGUAAGGGUGAAUGUAUAUUGAGCAGGUGGAAUCCAGACAGGGCAAGCAGCACCUCUCUUCUCACUGAUUACCCAGUUACCAACCAAAGACAUAAACAAGUUGACACAGAAUAUUGAUUUUAAGAUUAUUUUAUUAGUUUAGAAAUGAUUUAAAUAUAUAACUUAAACAUAUAGUCCCUCAGAUUUCUCGUGGGGUAGUGUUUCCAGGGCACCUGAUUCUUAUCAACCUCCUGGCAAAACAAAUUAACAUUAAAUUUAACAUUUCAGGGGCACUAUUGGCUUAUCGGUUUAAUCAUGCACCCCAUAUACAAAGGCUACAGUCCUCGUUACAACAGUCGCUGGUACGACUCUCAGCUGCUUGUCUCCCCACAUUUCCUGUCUCUCUGUCAGCUGUCCUGUCCAAUAAAGGUGAAAAUGCUCAAAAAUAUUACUUUAAAAAAAUGCAACAUUUCAGUUCAUGGUCAGGUUAAAACAUCAUCCUGCUGGUUUGUGAUGAGUCACAUUAAACUGAAUAAUACAACGCAAGACAAUGUGACCAGGACUUAAACAGGAAUAUUUAUGUUGACAGUUCUGUCCUCAUUUAGCCCUCCUUCUUCUCAGGACUUAGCGCUUGACACACU